GUAAUGGCGAAUGAACAGGGAUAAGCUCAGGUUGGAAACCGGGGCAUUUGUCCCGGGUUGUGGCCUGCAGGCAAGGUGCUAUCGGCGGCUUGCGCGUAAGACUCUUGGAAUGGAGCGUGCGUCCGGGUGAGAAUCCUGCGUUUCGCGCAAUGUCCGCUGUCCACAGCCCUUGUUCUCAGAGUCACGCUCCUCGGAAUUGGAGCGUAAAUAAGGUGGUAAAUUUCAUCUAAAGCUAAAUAGGGGCUUGAGACCGAUAGCGAACAAGUACCAUGAGGGAAAGAUGAAAAGGACUUUGGAAAGAGAGUUAAAAGUGUUUGAAAUCGCUGAAAGGGAAGCGAAUGGAACCACAGAUCUUGCUGAGAUUGCUGUGGGCCUUUGUGAGCUUUGGGCGUGACAGCGCAAGCGUUACGCUCAUGUGUGAACAACUGCCCGUAGUGUUUCUUAUCUUGCGCGUCACUUGCCACGUCUGUUUGAGGAUGGCCUUCGGCUCACAAGUUGCAUCUGCGGGUGCUUCUUCGGGCUGUUAGGGA
Molecule: ribosomal RNA, 530 nt
Filed under: Symbiodinium sp. Z3
Lineage: Eukaryota; Dinophyceae; Suessiales; Symbiodiniaceae
Description: LSU rRNA
Rfam family: Eukaryotic large subunit ribosomal RNA
Source: RNAcentral